GUGCAGCAGGCGCGAAACCUCCGCAAUACACGAAAAGUGUGACGGGGCCAUCCCGAGUGCCGUCCGCUGAGGACGGCUUUUCCCCAGUGUACAUAGCUGGGGGAAUAAGGAGAGGGCAAGCCUGGUGUCGGCCGCCGCGGUAAUACCAGCUCUCCGAGUGGUGGGGACGCUUAUUGGGCCUAAAGCAUCCGUAGCCGGCUGGGCAAGUCCUCCGUUAAAUCCAACGAUUCAAUCGUUAGGGCUGCGGGGGAUACUGGUCCAGCCUUGGGGGCGGGAGAGGCCGACGGUAUUCCC
This 294-nucleotide ribosomal RNA is filed under the name uncultured microorganism. RNAcentral describes it as "partial 16S ribosomal RNA". It matches the Rfam family "Archaeal small subunit ribosomal RNA", at positions 330 to 622 of the family's 1478-position model. The record is from RNAcentral.